Molecule: ribosomal RNA, 111 nt
Organism: Otolemur garnettii (small-eared galago)
Lineage: Eukaryota; Metazoa; Chordata; Mammalia; Primates; Galagidae
Source: Ensembl
AUCUAUGGCCAUACCACCCUGAAAGCUUCUGAUCUUAUAGGACCUUGGAAGCUAAGCAGGGUUGGGCCUGGUUAGUUCUUGGAUGGGAGAUAUAUCAGGCUGCUGUACUCC